UUAAGCGACUAAGCGUACACGGUGGAUGCCCUGGCAGUCAGAGGCGAUGAAGGACGUGCUAAUCUGCGAAAAGCGUCGGUAAGGUGAUAUGAACCGUUACAGCCGGCGAUGUCCGAAUGGGGAAACCCAGUGCAAUUCGUUGCACUAUCGUUAACUGAAUACAUAGGUUAACGAGGCGAACCGGGGGAACUGAAACAUCUAAGUACCCCGAGGAAAAGAAAUCAACCGAGAUUCCCCCAGUAGCGGCGAGCGAACGGGGAGCAGCCCAGAGUCUGAAUCAGCUUGUGUGUUAGUGGAACGGUCUGGAAAGUCCGACGGUACAGGGUGAUAGUCCCGUACACCAAAAUGCACAGGUUGUGAACUCGAAGAGUAGGGCGGGACACGUGGUAUCCUGUCUGAAUAUGGGGGGACCAUCCUCCAAGGCUAAAUACUCCUGACUGACCGAUAGUGAACCAGUACCGUGAGGGAAAGGCGAAAAGAACCCCGGCGAGGGGAGUGAAAAAGAACCUGAAACCGUGUACGUACAAGCAGUGGGAGCACCUUCGGGUGUGACUGCGUACCUUUUGUAUAAUGGGUCAGCGACUUAUAUUCUGUAGCAAGGUUAACCGUAUAGGGGAGCCGCAGGGAAACCGAGUCUUAACUGGGCGUUAAGUUGCAGGGUAUAGACCCGAAACCCGGUGAUCUAGCCAUGGGCAGGUUGAAGGUUGGGUAACACUAACUGGAGGACCGAACCGACUAAUGUUGAAAAAUUAGCGGAUGACUUGUGGCUGGGGGUGAAAGGCCAAUCAAACCGGGAGAUAGCUGGUUCUCCCCGAAAGCUAUUUAGGUAGCGCCUCGUGAACUCAUCUUCGGGGGUAGAGCACUGUUUCGGCUAGGGGGUCAUCCCGACUUACCAACCCGAUGCAAACUACGAAUACCGAAGAAUGUUAUCACGGGAGACACACGGCGGGUGCUAACGUCCGUCGUGAAGAGGGAAACAACCCAGACCGCCAGCUAAGGUCCCAAAGUCAUGGUUAAGUGGGAAACGAUGUGGGAAGGCACAGACAGCCAGGAUGUUGGCUUAGAAGCAGCCAUCAUUUAAAGAAAGCGUAAUAGCUCACUGGUCGAGUCGGCCUGCGCGGAAGAUGUAACGGGGCUAAACCAUGCACCGAAGCUGCGGCAGCGACACUAUGUGUUGUUGGGUAGGGGAGCGUUCUGUAAGCCUGCGAAGGUGUGCUGUGAGGCAUGCUGGAGGUAUCAGAAGUGCGAAUGCUGACAUAAGUAACGAUAAAGCGGGUGAAAAGCCCGCUCGCCGGAAGACCAAGGGUUCCUGUCCAACGUUAAUCGGGGCAGGGUGAGUCGACCCCUAAGGCGAGGCCGAAAGGCGUAGUCGAUGGGAAACAGGUUAAUAUUCCUGUACUUGGUGUUACUGCGAAGGGGGGACGGAGAAGGCUAUGUUAGCCGGGCGACGGUUGUCCCGGUUUAAGCAUGUAGGCUGAUUGUCCAGGCAAAUCCGGAUAAUCAAGGCUGAGGUGUGAUGACGAGGCACUACGGUGCUGAAGUAACAAAUGCCCUGCUUCCAGGAAAAGCCUCUAAGCAUCAGGUAACAUCAAAUCGUACCCCAAACCGACACAGGUGGUCAGGUAGAGAAUACCAAGGCGCUUGAGAGAACUCGGGUGAAGGAACUAGGCAAAAUGGUGCCGUAACUUCGGGAGAAGGCACGCUGGUGUGUAGGUGAAGUCCCUGCGGAUGGAGCUGAGACCAGUCGAAGAUACCAGCUGGCUGCAACUGUUUAUUAAAAACACAGCACUGUGCAAACACGAAAGUGGACGUAUACGGUGUGACGCCUGCCCGGUGCCGGAAGGUUAAUUGAUGGGGUUAUCCGUAAGGAGAAGCUCUUGAUCGAAGCCCCGGUAAACGGCGGCCGUAACUAUAACGGUCCUAAGGUAGCGAAAUUCCUUGUCGGGUAAGUUCCGACCUGCACGAAUGGCGUAAUGAUGGCCAGGCUGUCUCCACCCGAGACUCAGUGAAAUUGAACUCGCUGUGAAGAUGCAGUGUACCCGCGGCAAGACGGAAAGACCCCGUGAACCUUUACUAUAGCUUGACACUGAACAUUGAGCCUUGAUGUGUAGGAUAGGUGGGAGGCUUUGAAGCGUGGACGCCAGUCUGCGUGGAGCCAACCUUGAAAUACCACCCUUUAAUGUUUGAUGUUCUAACGUUGGCCCCUGACCGGGGUUGCGGACAGUGUCUGGUGGGUAGUUUGACUGGGGCGGUCUCCUCCCAAAGCGUAACGGAGGAGCACGAAGGUUAGCUAAUCCUGGUCGGACAUCAGGAGGUUAGUGCAAUGGCAUAAGCUAGCUUGACUGCGAGCGUGACGGCGCGAGCAGGUGCGAAAGCAGGUCAUAGUGAUCCGGUGGUUCUGAAUGGAAGGGCCAUCGCUCAACGGAUAAAAGGUACUCCGGGGAUAACAGGCUGAUACCGCCCAAGAGUUCAUAUCGACGGCGGUGUUUGGCACCUCGAUGUCGGCUCAUCACAUCCUGGGGCUGAAGUAGGUCCCAAGGGUAUGGCUGUUCGCCAUUUAAAGUGGUACGCGAGCUGGGUUUAGAACGUCGUGAGACAGUUCGGUCCCUAUCUGCCGUGGGCGCUGGAGAAUUGAGGGGGGCUGCUCCUAGUACGAGAGGACCGGAGUGGACGCAUCACUGGUGUUCGGGUUGUCAUGCCAAUGGCACUGCCCGGUAGCUAAAUGCGGAAGAGAUAAGUGCUGAAAGCAUCUAAGCACGAAACUUGCCCCGAGAUGAGUUCUCCCUGAGACUUUAAGUCUCCUGAAGGAACGUUAAAGACGAUGACGUUGAUAGGCCGGGUGUGUAAGCGCAGCGAUGCGUUGAGCUAACCGGUACUAAUGAACCGUGAGGCUUAACCUU
Molecule: ribosomal RNA, 2900 nt
Filed under: Klebsiella pneumoniae
Lineage: Bacteria; Pseudomonadati; Pseudomonadota; Gammaproteobacteria; Enterobacterales; Enterobacteriaceae
Description: bacterial LSU rRNA
Rfam family: Bacterial large subunit ribosomal RNA
Source: RNAcentral